GACGAACGCUGGCGGCGUGCUUAACACAUGCAAGUCGAACGGAAAGGCCCUGCUUUUGUGGGGUGCUCGAGAGGCGAACGGGUGAGUAACACGUGAGUAACCUGCCCUUGACUUUGGGAUAACUUCAGGAAACUGGGGCUAAUACCGGAUAGGAGCUCCUGCUGCAUGGUGGGGGUUGGAAAGUUUCGGCGGUUGGGGAUGGACUCGCGGCUUAUCAGCUUGUUGGUGGGGUAGUGGCUUACCAAGGCUUUGACGGGUAGCCGGCCUGAGAGGGUGACCGGCCACAUUGGGACUGAGAUACGGCCCAGAAGCCUACGGGAGGCAGCAGUGGGGAAUAUUGCACAAUGGGCGGAAGCCUGAUGCAGCAACGCCGCGUGCGGGAUGACGGCCUUCGGGUUGUAAACCGCUUUCGCCUGUGACGAAGCGUGAGUGACGGUAAUGGGUAAAGAAGCACCGGCUAACUACGUG
This 468-nucleotide ribosomal RNA is filed under the name uncultured bacterium. Its description in RNAcentral is "partial 16S ribosomal RNA". It matches the Rfam family "Bacterial small subunit ribosomal RNA", at positions 28 to 507 of the family's 1533-position model. The record is from RNAcentral.